GAUGAAGAACGUAGUGAAAUGCGAUAAGUAAUGUGAAUUGCAGAAUUCAGUGAAUCAUCGAAUCUUUGAACGCACCUUGCGCCUUUUGGUAUUCCGAAAGGCACACCUGUUUGAGCGUCAUGAAUACCUCAAUCUCCAUCUUUUCUUCGGAUUGAUGGGUGACUUGGAUGUUGAGCCCUGCUGGUAUGCUAUAUCAGCUGGCUUUAAACUUAUUAGCCGGCUCUGUACUGGAUCGGUUUGACUCGACGUGAUAAUAUUAUCGUUGAGGAUGCAUGUCUCAUGCAGCCGGAAAGUAUCAAAGCAGCUUCUAGCUUGCCUUUAGUGCACUUUUACAUUUUAGACCUCAGAUCAGGUGGGACUACCCGCUGAACUUAAGCAUAUCAAUAGCGGAGG
Molecule: unclassified non-coding RNA, 393 nt
Filed under: soil metagenome
Description: partial contains 5.8S ribosomal RNA, internal transcribed spacer 2, and large subunit ribosomal RNA
Rfam family: 5.8S ribosomal RNA (bases 1-120)
Source: RNAcentral